This 478-nucleotide ribosomal RNA is filed under the name uncultured bacterium. RNAcentral's name for it is "partial 16S ribosomal RNA". It matches the Rfam family "Bacterial small subunit ribosomal RNA", at positions 28 to 523 of the family's 1533-position model. The record is from RNAcentral.
GACGAACGCUGGCGGCGUGCUUAACACAUGCAAGUCGAACGGUAAGGCCCUUCGGGGUACACGAGUGGCGAACGGGUGAGUAACACGUGGGUGAUCUGCCCUGCACUUCGGGAUAAGCCUGGGAAACUGGGUCUAAUACCGGAUAGGACCACUGCCUGCAUGGGUGGUGGUGGAAAGCUUUUGCGGUGUGGGAUGGGCCCGCGGCCUAUCAGCUUGUUGGUGGGGUAGUGGCCCACCAAGGCGACGACGGGUAGCCGGCCUGAGAGGGCGACCGGCCACACUGGGACUGAGACACGGCCCAGACUCCUACGGGAGGCAGCAGUGGGGAAUAUUGCGCAAUGGGCGAAAGCCUGACGCAGCGACGCCGCGUGAGGGAUGACGGCCUUCGGGUUGUAAACCUCUUUCAGCAGGGAAGAAGCGAAAGUGACGGUACCUGCAGAAGAAGCACCGGCUAACUACGUGCCAGCCGCCGCAGUAA